CCGAAAGGCGUAGACGAUGGGAACCAGGUUAAUAUUCCUGGGCCAGGAAGAUGUGACGGAUCGUGAAGGUUGUUCACCCUUAUUGGAUUGGGUGGGCCGCUAAUCGGUUCCUGGAAAUAGCCUUCCAUAAGAUCGUACCCUAAACCGACACAGGUGGACUGGUAGAGAAUACCAAGGCGCUUGAGAGAACUAUAUUGAAGGAACUCGGCAAAAUACCUCCGUAAGUUCGCGAGAAGGAGGCCCAGUUUCUACGCAAGUAUUGACUGGGGGCACAAACUAGGGGGUGGCGACUGUUUACUAAAAACACAGGGCUCUGCGAAGUCGCAAGACGACGUAUAGGGUCUGACGCCUGCCCGGUGCCUGAAGGUUAAAAGGAGGUGUGAGAGCACCGAAUUGAAGCCCAGGUAAACGGCGGCCGUAACUAUAACGGUCCUAAGGUAGCGAAAUUCCUUGUCGGGUAAGUUCCGACCUGCACGAAUGGCGUAACGACUUCCCCACUGUCUCCAAUAUAGACUCAGCGAAAUUGAAUUGCCUGUCAAGAUGCAGGCUUCCCGCGGUUAGACGGAAAGACCCCGUGCACCUUUACUACAACUUCGCACUGGCAUCAGGCAUAACAUGUGCAGGAUAGGUGGUGGGCUUUGAAGCAGUAACGCCAGUUAUUGUGGAGCCUCCCUUGAGAUACCACCCUUGUUCUGCUUGAUGUCUAACUGCGGUCCAUUAUCUGGAUCCAGGACCCUGCGUGGUGGGUAGUUUGACUGGGGCGGUCGCCUCCUAAAGAGUAACGGAGGCGCGCGAAGGUUGGCUCAGAGCGGUCGGACAUCGCUCGUUGAGUGCAAUGGCAGAAGCCAGCCUGACUGCGAGACUGACAAGUCGAGCAGAGUCGAAAGACGGCCAUAGUGAUCCGGUGGUCCCGCGUGGAAGGGCCAUCGCUCAACGGAUAAAAGGUACGCCGGGGAUAACAGGCUGAUACUGCCCAAGAGUCCAUAUCGACGGCAGUGUUUGGCACCUCGAUGUCGGCUCAUCUCAUCCUGGGGCUGGAGCAGGUCCCAAGGGUACGGCUGUUCGCCGUUUAAAGAGGUACGUGAGCUGGGUUUAGAACGUCGUGAGACAGUUCGGUCCCUAUCUGCCGUGGGUGUAGGAUACUUGAGAGGAGUUGCCCCUAGUACGAGAGGACCGGGGUGAACGAUCCACUGGUGGACCUGUUGUUGCGCCAGCAGCAGUGCAGGGUAGCUAUGAUCGGACAGGAUAACCGCUGAAGGCAUCUAAGCGGGAAGCCCCCCUCAAAACAAGGUAUCCCUGAGAGCCGUGGAAGACCACCACGUCGAUAGGCCGGAGAUGUAAGCAUGGUAACAUGUUCAGUUGACCGGUACUAAUGGCUCGAUAGGCUUGGUUUG
Molecule: ribosomal RNA, 1394 nt
Filed under: marine metagenome
Description: bacterial LSU rRNA
Rfam family: Bacterial large subunit ribosomal RNA
Source: RNAcentral